This 417-nucleotide ribosomal RNA is filed under the name uncultured bacterium. Its description in RNAcentral is "bacterial SSU rRNA". It matches the Rfam family "Bacterial small subunit ribosomal RNA", at positions 355 to 776 of the family's 1533-position model. The record is from RNAcentral.
CCAAGAAUAUUGCGCAAUGGGCGAAAGCCUGACGCAGCGACACCGCGUGCGGGAAGAAGGCCUUAGGGUCGUAAACCGCUGUGGUAGGGGAAGAAGAUCCGCAAGGGUUUGACGGUACCCUACUAGAAAGUGGCUGCUAACUACGUGCCAGAAGCAUCGGUCAUACGUAGGCCACAAGCAUUAUCCGGAUUUACUGGGCGUAAAGGGACGCGUAGGCGGACUGGUAAGUUGUGUUUAAAAUCCUCUUGCUCAACGAGAGGCCGGGCGCAAUACUACCAGCCUAUGAGUUUUCUUCAGGGAAGUGGAACGUUCUUUGUAGCGGUAAAAUGCGUUGAUAAAGAACGGAACACCAAUGGCGAAGGCAACUUCCUGGAAGUUUACUGACGCUGAGGCUCGAAAGCUAGGGGAGCGAAAGGG